AGCAGCCGCGGUAAUUCCAGCUCCAAUAGCGUAUAUUAAAGUUGUUGCAGUUAAAAAAGCUCGUAGUUGAAUUUCGGGAUUAGUACGCUGGUCGUGCCUUCGGUACGUACUGGUGUUACUGAUUCCUACCUUCUGACGAACCAUCAUGUCAUUAAUUUGGUGUGGUGGGGAAUUAGGGACUGUUACUUUGAAAAAAAUUAGAGUGUUUAAAGCAGGCUAACGCCUGAAUACAUUAGCAUGGAAUAAUGAAAUAGGACGUUCGAUCCUAUUUUGUUGGUUUCUAGGAUUGACGUAAUGAUUAAUAGGGAUAGUUGGGGGGCAUUAGUAUUCAAUUGUCAGAGGUGAAAUUCUUGGAUUUAUUGAAGACUAACUACUGCGAAAGCAUUUGCCAAGGAUGUUUUCAUUAAUCAAGAACGAAAGUUAGGGGAUCGAAGACGAUCAGAUACC
This 447-nucleotide ribosomal RNA is filed under the name uncultured Glomeromycotina. Its description in RNAcentral is "SSU rRNA". It matches the Rfam family "Eukaryotic small subunit ribosomal RNA", at positions 569 to 1016 of the family's 1831-position model. Lineage: Eukaryota; Fungi; Glomeromycota. The record is from RNAcentral.